UCUUUUGUCAGCUUUUGGAUUCA
This 23-nucleotide microRNA is filed under the name Xenopus laevis (African clawed frog). RNAcentral describes it as "Xla-Novel-12_5p (mature (guide))". The record is from RNAcentral. Lineage: Eukaryota; Metazoa; Chordata; Amphibia; Anura; Pipidae.